UGAGGAAUAUUGCACAAUGGGCGAAAGCCUGAUGCAGCGACGCCGCGUGAAGGAUGAAGGUCUUCGGAUUGUAAACUUCUGUUAAAUGGGAAAAAAGAGUCUUCUUGAAUAGAGAAGAAAGAUGAUGGUACCAUUAGAGAAAGCACCGGCUAACUUCGUGCCAGCAGCCGCGGUAAUACGAGGGGUGCAAGCGUUAUUCGGAUUUAUUGGGCGUAAAGGGUUUGUAGGCGGUCUGUUAAGUCAUUUAUUAAAUGCCCUAGCUUAACUAGGGAGAUGUGAGUGAAACUGGGAGACUAGAGGAUGGAAGAGAGAAGUGGAAUUCUCGGAGUAGCGGUAAAAUGCGUAGAUCUCGAGAGGAACACCGAUGGCGAAGGCAGCUUCUUGG
RNAcentral lists this ribosomal RNA (385 nucleotides) under uncultured bacterium. RNAcentral's name for it is "bacterial SSU rRNA". It matches the Rfam family "Bacterial small subunit ribosomal RNA", at positions 355 to 732 of the family's 1533-position model. The record is from RNAcentral.